GAUGAACGCUGGCGGCGUGCCUAAUACAUGCAAGUCGAGCGAACGGACGAGAAGCUUGCUUCUCUGAUGUUAGCGGCGGACGGGUGAGUAACACGUGGAUAACCUACCUAUAAGACUGGGAUAACUUCGGGAAACCGGAGCUAAUACCGGAUAAUAUUUUGAACCGCAUGGUUCAAAAGUGAAAGACGGUCUUGCUGUCACUUAUAGAUGGAUCCGCGCUGCAUUAGCUAGUUGGUAAGGUAACGGCUUACCAAGGCAACGAUGCAUAGCCGACCUGAGAGGGUGAUCGGCCACACUGGAACUGAGACACGGUCCAGACUCCUACGGGAGGCAGCAGUAGGGAAUCUUCCGCAAUGGGCGAAAGCCUGACGGAGCAACGCCGCGUGAGUGAUGAAGGUCUUCGGAUCGUAAAACUCUGUUAUUAGGGAAGAACAUAUGUGUAAGUAACUGUGCACAUCUUGACGGUACCUAAUCAGAAAGCCACGGCUAACUACGUGCCAGCAGCCGCGGUAAUACGUAGGUGGCAAGCGUUAUCCGGAAUUAUUGGGCGUAAAGCGCGCGUAGGCGGUUUUUUAAGUCCGAUGUGAAAGCCCACGGCUCAACCGUGGAGGGUCAUUGGAAACUGGAAAACUUGAGUGCAGAAGAGGAAAGUGGAAUUCCAUGUGUAGCGGUGAAAUGCGCAGAGAUAUGGAGGAACACCAGUGGCGAAGGCGACUUUCUGGUCUGUAACUGACGCUGAUGUGCGAAAGCGUGGGGAUCAAACAGGAUUAGAUACCCUGGUAGUCCACGCCGUAAACGAUGAGUGCUAAGUGUUAGGGGGUUUCCGCCCCUUAGUGCUGCAGCUAACGCAUUAAGCACUCCGCCUGGGGAGUACGACCGCAAGGUUGAAACUCAAAGGAAUUGACGGGGACCCGCACAAGCGGUGGAGCAUGUGGUUUAAUUCGAAGCAACGCGAAGAACCUUACCAAAUCUUGACAUCCUUUGACAACUCUAGAGAUAGAGCCUUCCCCUUCGGGGGGGGCAAAGUGACAGGUGGUGCAUGGUUGUCGUCAGCUCGUGUCGUGAGAUGUUGGGUUAAGUCCCGCAACGAGCGCAACCCUUAAGCUUAGUUGCCAUCAUUAAGUUGGGCACUCUAAGUUGACUGCCGGUGACAAACCGGAGGAAGGUGGGGAUGACGUCAAAUCAUCAUGCCCCUUAUGAUUUGGGCUACACACGUGCUACAAUGGACAAUACAAAGGGCAGCGAAACCGCGAGGUCAAGCAAAUCCCAUAAAGUUGUUCUCAGUUCGGAUUGUAGUCUGCAACUCGACUACAUGAAGCUGGAAUCGCUAGUAAUCGUAGAUCAGCAUGCUACGGUGAAUACGUUCCCGGGUCU
This 1374-nucleotide ribosomal RNA is filed under the name uncultured bacterium. Its description in RNAcentral is "bacterial SSU rRNA". It matches the Rfam family "Bacterial small subunit ribosomal RNA", at positions 28 to 1381 of the family's 1533-position model. The record is from RNAcentral.